AGUGAACGCUGGCGGUAGGCCUAACACAUGCAAGUCGAACGGCAGCACAGUAAGAGCUUGCUCUUACGGGUGGCGAGUGGCGGACGGGUGAGGAAUACAUCGGAAUCUACUUUUUCGUGGGGGAUAACGUAGGGAAACUUACGCUAAUACCGCAUACGACCUACGGGUGAAGGCAGGGGAUCUUCGGACCUUGCGCGAUUGAAUGAGCCGAUGUCGGAUUAGCUAGUUGGCGGGGUAAAGGCCCACCAAGGCGACGAUCCGUAGCUGGUCUGAGAGGAUGAUCAGCCACACUGGAACUGAGACACGGUCCAGACUCCUACGGGAGGCAGCAGUGGGGAAUAUUGGACAAUGGGCGCAAGCCUGAUCCAGCCAUACCGCGUGGGUGAAGAAGGCCUUCGGGUUGUAAAGCCCUUUUGUUGGGAAAGAAAAGCGGCAGGUUAAUACCCCGCUGUUCUGACGGUACCCAAAGAAUAAGCACCGGCUAACUUCGUG
Molecule: ribosomal RNA, 492 nt
Filed under: uncultured bacterium
Lineage: Bacteria
Description: partial 16S ribosomal RNA
Rfam family: Bacterial small subunit ribosomal RNA
Source: RNAcentral